Molecule: long non-coding RNA, 296 nt
Filed under: Astyanax mexicanus (Mexican tetra)
Lineage: Eukaryota; Metazoa; Chordata; Actinopteri; Characiformes; Acestrorhamphidae
Description: lncRNA (ENSAMXG00005000841.1)
Source: RNAcentral
AGUAGUCAGGUCUUCACACUGAAUUGCUGAUGAGCUGUAUUGUUUUUAAAAAAGUACAGACCGCAUAGACACAGACUGCACUGGGUAUUCAUGAACCGCUAACCAGCCAUAAUGGAUUUAAAUGAACUGUCUCAGAGCUAUGUAUGGGUUCGAUACUUAUUGUUCUUGGUCUGGCUAUUCAACAUCAUGAUGAUGUUCAUACUAACACACUUGGAGGCUGACGAAGAACGGAUGCUGCAGCGGUGUGAGAGAGCAGAACGAGAACUCAGAGAACGUUCAGCAUCCAUUGACACCAG